RNAcentral lists this ribosomal RNA (497 nucleotides) under uncultured bacterium. RNAcentral's name for it is "partial 16S ribosomal RNA". It matches the Rfam family "Bacterial small subunit ribosomal RNA", at positions 28 to 507 of the family's 1533-position model. The record is from RNAcentral.
GAUGAACGCUGGCGGCGUGCCUAAUACAUGCAAGUCGAGCGAACGGACGAGAAGCUUGCUUCUCUGAUGUUAGCGGCGGACGGGUGAGUAACACGUGGAUAACCUACCUAUAAGACUGGGAUAACUUCGGGAAACCGGAGCUAAUACCGGAUAAUAUUUUGAACCGCAUGGUUCAAAAGUGAAAGACGGUCUUGCUGUCACUUAUAGAUGGAUCCGCGCUGCAUUAGCUAGUUGGUAAGGUAACGGCUUACCAAGGCAACGAUGCAUAGCCGACCUGAGAGGGUGAUCGGCCACACUGGAACUGAGACACGGUCCAGACUCCUACGGGAGGCAGCCGUAGGGAAUCUUCCGCCAUGGGCGAAAGCCUGACGGAGCAACGCCGCGUGAGUGAUGAAGGUCUUCGGAUCGUAAAACUCUGUUAUUAGGGAAGAACAUAUGUGUAAGUAACUGUGCACAACUUGACGGUACCUAAUCAGAAAGCCACGGCUAACUACGUG